GCCUACCAUGCCAGUUCGAGCGCGAAAGUUUUCGGAUGAGUAGAGCGGCGAACGGGUGAGUAACGCGUGGGAAUCUGCCUGGUAAUGGGGGACAACAUCUCGAAAGGGAUGCUAAUACCGCAUACGCCCUAAGGGGGAAAGUGGGGGAUCUUCGGACCUCACGUUAUCAGAGGAGCCCGCGUCGGAUUAGCUAGUAGGUAGGGUAAAGGCCUACCUAGGCGACGAUCCGUAUCUGGUCUGAGAGGAUGAUCAGUCACACUGGAACUGAGACACGGUCCAGACUCCUACGGGAGGCAGCAGUGGGGAAUAUUGGACAAUGGGGGCAACCCUGAUCCAGCCAUGCCGCGUGUGUGAAGAAGGCCUUCGGGUUGUAAAGCACUUUAAGUUGGGAGGAAGGCUUCACGGAUAAUACCUGUGAGGAUUGACGUUACCAACAGAAUAAGCACCGGCUAACUCCGUGCCAGCAGCCGCGGUAAUACGGAGGGUGCAAGCGUUAAUCGGAAUUACUGGGCGUAAAGCGCGCGUAGGCGGCCAUUUAAGCUAGAUGUGAAAGCCCAGGGCUUAACCUUGGAACUGCAUUUAGAACUGGAUGGCUAGAGUAUGGAAGAGGAGUGUGGAAUUUCAGGUGUAGCGGUGAAAUGCGUAGAGAUCUGAAGGAACAUCAGUGGCGAAGGCGACACUCUGGUCCAAUACUGACGCUGAGGUGCGAAAGCGUGGGGAUCAAACAGGAUUAGAUACCCUGGUAGUCCACGCCGUAAACGAUGUCGACUACCCGUUGGCCUCCUUGAAGGGGUUAGUGGCGCAGCUAACGCGAUAAAUUCGACCGCCCUGGGGGAGUACGGCCCGCCAAGGUUUAAACUCAAAAUUGAAUUUGACGGGGGGCCCCGCACCAAGCCGGUGGGAACCAU
RNAcentral lists this ribosomal RNA (908 nucleotides) under uncultured bacterium. RNAcentral describes it as "bacterial SSU rRNA". It matches the Rfam family "Bacterial small subunit ribosomal RNA", at positions 46 to 942 of the family's 1533-position model. The record is from RNAcentral.